AUGAACGCUGGCGGCGUGCUUCACACAUGCCAGUCGCACGAUGAAGCCCAGCUUGCUGGGUGGAUUAGUGGCGAACGGGUGAGUAACACGUGAGUAACCUGCCCUUAACUCUGGGAUAAGCCUGGGAAACUGGGUCUAAUACCGGAUAGGAGCGUCCACCGCAUGGUGGGUGUUGGAAAGAUUUAUCGGUUUUGGAUGGACUCGCGGCCUAUCAGCUUGUUGGUGAGGUAAUGGCUCACCAAGGCGACGACGGGUAGCCGGCCUGAGAGGGUGACCGGCCACACUGGGACUGAGACACGGCCCAGUCUCCUACGGGAGGCAGCAGUGGGGAAUAUUGCACAAUGGGCGCAAGCCUGAUGCAGCGACGCCGCGUGAGGGAUGACGGCCCUCGGGUUGUAAACCUCUUUCAGUAGGGAAGAAGCGAAAGUGACGGUACCUGCAGAAGAAGCACCGGCUAACUACGCG
Molecule: ribosomal RNA, 465 nt
Filed under: uncultured bacterium
Lineage: Bacteria
Description: partial 16S ribosomal RNA
Rfam family: Bacterial small subunit ribosomal RNA
Source: RNAcentral